RNAcentral lists this ribosomal RNA (253 nucleotides) under uncultured bacterium. Its description in RNAcentral is "partial 16S ribosomal RNA". It matches the Rfam family "Bacterial small subunit ribosomal RNA", at positions 524 to 776 of the family's 1533-position model. The record is from RNAcentral.
UACGAAGGGUGCAAGCGUUACUCGGAAUUACUGGGCGUAAAGCGUGCGUAGGCGGUUUGUUAAGUCCGUUGUGAAAGCCCUGGGCUCAACCUGGGAAUUGCAGUGGAUACUGGCGAGCUAGAGUGCGGUAGAGGAUGGUGAAAUUCCCGGUGUAGCGGUGAAAUGCGUAGAGAUCGGGAGGAACACCCGUGGCGAAGGCGGCCAUCUGGACCAGCACUGACGCUGAGGCACGAAAGCGUGGGGAGCAAACAGG